Molecule: ribosomal RNA, 499 nt
Filed under: uncultured bacterium
Lineage: Bacteria
Description: partial 16S ribosomal RNA
Rfam family: Bacterial small subunit ribosomal RNA
Source: RNAcentral
GAUGAACGCUGGCGGCGUGCCUAAUACAUGCGAGUCGAGCGAACAGACGAGAGUGCUUGCACUCUCUGACGUUAGCGGCGGACGGGUGAGUAACACGUGGGUAACCUACCUAUAAGACUGGGAUAACUUCGGGAAACCGGAGCUAAUACCGGAUAAUAUUUAGCUUCGCAUGACGCAAUAGUGAAAGACGGUUCUGCUGUCACUUAUAGAUGGACCCGCGGUGUAUUAGCUAGUUGGUGGGGUAACGGCUCACCAAGGCAACGAUCCAUAGCCGACCUGAGAGGAUGAUCAGCCACACUGGGACUGAGACACGGCCCAGACUCCUACGGGAGGCAGCAGUAGGGAAUCUUCCGCAAUGGACGAAAGUCUGACGGAGCAAUGCCGCGUGAGUGAAGAAGGUUUUCGGAUCGUAAAACUCUGUUGUAAGGGAAGAACAAGUACGUUAGUAACUGAACGUACCUUGACGGUACCUUACCAGAAAGCCACGGCUAACUACGUG